UUGGCAAACUUAUUGAAAAAUGAGGACGCAAAGCUUGAGGGUCUAACCCGGAAACGGUAUGACAGCCAGUUGCAG
RNAcentral lists this non-coding RNA (75 nucleotides) under uncultured Ruminococcus sp. RNAcentral's name for it is "Cyclic di-GMP-I riboswitch". It matches the Rfam family "c-di-GMP-I riboswitch aptamer", at positions 12 to 83 of the family's 87-position model. Rfam says of the family: GEMM was predicted in a large-scale screen for bacterial structured RNA regulatory elements. Genes associated with GEMM are involved in a diverse array of functions, including chemotaxis regulation, signal transduction, secretion and chitin. Lineage: Bacteria; Bacillati; Bacillota; Clostridia; Eubacteriales; Oscillospiraceae. The record is from RNAcentral.